Long non-coding RNA from Eleginops maclovinus (Patagonian blennie), 2227 nucleotides. RefSeq lists it as uncharacterized. The transcript is spliced from 5 exons. The record is from RefSeq and is a predicted model, not a curated record. Lineage: Eukaryota; Metazoa; Chordata; Actinopteri; Perciformes; Eleginopidae.
GCGAGCGACGGAGAGGCAGGAGGAGGAAGAAGAGUGUGUGUGUGUGGUGUGUGUGUGUGUGUGUGUGUGUGUGUGUAGACCACCUCCGCGGGAAAUAAUGGGGAUGAUAAUGAAACGGGGGGGAAACCCUGAAUGGAUGGAGCCACGGUGACGUCACGACCAGCCGCAGAAAUGAAGCUGAGCUCCAGCCCCCCCUCCGGAUCACUCGGUCUCCAUCUCCCGAGCUGCACGCUUCUCCUGCCGGGGAGGAGAGGACACAGACACCGGAUCCCUGGAGAGACACUCAGCGGCCUCACAGCACGUGGCUUAUAGGUCAAAGCUCGGACCAUGUGGCUUCGCCCGCAGCGUGAGAGGAUGGGUAGCCUUAGGGGUUGGUUGUUAUCUUUGGUUAUCUAGCUGUAUGAGUGAUGUACAUUCUUCAUAAAGCUAGAUAACCGAAAGUAACAAGAAUCCCAUUACACUCCUGAAAAGGCAUCAAGACCCCAAAGCGCGGCACCGUACAAAAAAAAGCACAAACUCUGCCGCAUGUGCUGCAACAUGGACAACAUUUAAAGGAGAUGGGAGCCGAUGGCAGCCAAAGGCUUCCAGCACCUCAACACUGAAGGAAAGCUGGCAAAAGGAGACUAAAAACAGAGGAGAAGAAGAAGAAGAGGAACAAGAAGAAGAAUAAGGAGGAGGGGUUGCUGUUGAUUCUGCCCUCCCUCUCUCCUCACCCUCCUCUGCAUCGCCUCCUCCCUUCCUCCUCCGCUCCAUCCUCAGCCCCUUUUUUCCCAUACAGCGAGCUGCAGCCCUCGCCACCAUCUUAGAGCAACGCUGGCAUGAAAUGGAAGUGGGAAGACCAGCCAGUGCAGGAGGAUGCAGCUGCAGCGAGCUCGAUGAAAGGGAGAGCAGGACUAAAGACGGAUUCCUGCACACAUCGUGACUUUGCAACAUCCAGCUUCUGUGUUUUCCGAGAAAGGAGCGCCUGUUGGUGUUUUUUAGCCGAGCGAACAUCACGGCGGACUGCAGGAAGCACGGCGUGGAUCAGCCAGUCCACAAGAGAGACUUUAAUUAUUCUCGCUCAGAGGAAGCAGUGUCUUCAACUAACCUAGGCUCGACUUACUGUCUCGUUUGAUGAGUUGUAGUCCUCGCUUUGUUGCUCGGACUCAAAGACGCGUGAAUGUGAGACCCACGGCAGCAGUGAAUAAUACUGCACUGCGAUUGGACGGCUCUGUGUGAAUGCCGUCGUCUUUAUACUCUAUGCAACUGCUUCUUCCUUCUUUUUUUUGUGGUCCCUUUCAUCCUGGAUUUUUAUUUUGGGAUACCUUGAAGAAAGCUGACUCCCCUCCCCCCCCCGGUGUUAAUAGACUGCUACAGGACAUUACAGUCAGAGUGUGUGUGACAAAUGAUACGGCUUCCACAUGUAUUAAAAUCUCAUAUUUGCAGCCUUUAACAGACUUUGAUUUGCAGCCGUGAGCCACACAGUCUGAGUAAACGUGGGACUCGCACAUUUAAUAUUCCUUGUGGCAGGAGUGUGUUUGAUCAGCAGGAAGUAGCUCAGGAUACUGAACACACCUCACUGCCGUUUCAGUUACCUGCUUCACAUGGUUGGGUUGAGACAUGACAAAUACAUUGGCUUCAACCACUGCCUUAAUAUCCUGUCCUUGACAUUAACACACACACUCACACACACAUGCCCAAAUGCAAUAAAGCGCGUACUAUCGCAGCCUAAUUCAUUCUAUAUUAAUUUUCGGGAAGUGGCAAAUUUUUUAUUACGAUUGAUAAUCUAUGCAAAUCUUUUAAAUAUUACUUUAAACAAUCUGUGUCGACGCAGGGCUUUUUUGCAAUUGAUUCAAGGGAGACUAUCUCGGCCUAAUUUAGAAAAUGUAUUCUUUUGAUAAUCAUGCACAUCCCAGUGCUCAAGACAAUUACUUAUCUGCCUGGAUAAGCUUGAAAUUAUGUUUUUAAUCUUUAGCAAAGAAAAAAGAAAAGUCCCUCUUCUGAUAUCAGUCCAGAGGCACGAGUAGUGGGGAUGAAAUCCGUUGCUCUUCAUCUCUUCUUCCCUUACAUGUAGAUCAGACAUAUCUAUUCCGCUCCUUCAUAGCUUAUUCUUCUAUAUAAAUAUAUAUUUAAAAGCAGCAAUAUUUGUGUUAUGCAAUCUAAGUUGGUGGGAGUGUUCACCACAUGUGCCUUUGUCUGGAAUAAAACGUGUUGGAAUAAUAAUUAUAAUAAAGGUUUACAUUGAAAA